This 26-nucleotide non-coding RNA is filed under the name Rattus norvegicus (Norway rat). Lineage: Eukaryota; Metazoa; Chordata; Mammalia; Rodentia; Muridae. The record is from RNAcentral.
UGAGGUUUCUGACGGAAAUGAACAUA